AGGGAUCUGAACAUUCUGUAUUUCUUCGUGUCAACAUAAAGAAUAUUUGACAAUUUUUUGAGGUGUGUUCGAGAUCAAUAAAUGUAGAAAAAGCUUCAGAGUCUUUGAAAGGAAAUAUGGCUGCUUUUCUAAAUAUUUCUUACUGAUCUAGGAAUGUGUUUCUGGAGUUGGAAGAUCUACAGUAUGUUUUCAUGAUUUCUUCACAUGAGCUUUUCAUUGUUGUUGAAAGAUGAAGAACGAAAGCUACUUGUUGAUCAGAUAAGGAAGAGAUCCCCUAGAGUAAAUCUGUGCAUUACGCCUGUAACUUCAUUUUAUGAUAUCCCAGCCUCAGCAAGUGUCAACAUUGGCCAGUUGGAGCAUCAACUUAUAUUGUCAGUGGAUCCCUGGAGGAUUAGACAGAUUUUAAUUGAAUUACAUGGUGACAUCUCAUGUGUUGGAUGGAAGUUGGGAUAAGAAGUUGGGCCCUCUGCUGGUUUGUAGGGCAAGGUGCUCCCCGGGCCAUGAUGUGUGAUUGUGUAAUUCUUUUGCAUCUUCAAGUUUACUGAGUCUUCUGCCAUCUCAAGUUUGCUGUUACAUCUCUCACAUCUUCUUCCUGAGUGACCUUACACCCUGCAUUGCUGUAAAGCCACCACCAAGAAGACUCUCACCAGAUGCGUUCCCUGGACUUAGGACUUCCCAGCCUCUGAAACUGCAAGUAUGACGACUGCUUCAGCCAAACCGAUCUACUUAUCAUCUCAGGAAAUCAUCUUGCACAUUCCUUCCUCUAUGUUCCUGCUGUUUUCCAAGACUGCAGUGUUCACUUCAAGGCCUUUUUAUGGUAGCUGUUGUUUUUGGUGACCCAGCAUGUAUUCCUCCCCUCUCCCUUCUGGUAUCAGAACCUAACCCACCAUCCACCAGUAGAAACAGAUGUACAAAUCCAGCUUGUUAAUCGUGGUUUCCCCUUCCCCUGGCAACCGUGAUUGUUUCAGGCAAAGAUAAAUGUCCAAGCAGGGCCAAAGUCCUUCUCUGAAUUUUCCCUCCACUAGAAUGAGCUGAAAACCUGCUUCUGCCUCUGGGGUCACUGUGUCAAAGAAUUUUCAUCUGGAGGAACAUCCCAUCUGCAGUGUUAAAGGACAUGGCUGACACACAGAGAGCAGAGAGAAUGUCAUUAAGUCCUGGAUCUACCUUGUGGUUCCUAGUAACAUAAGCCAGUCCAUCAUUUUAGCUUAAGAUACUUUGAGUCAGUUUUGUCAGGUG
Molecule: long non-coding RNA, 1236 nt
Organism: Cynocephalus volans (Philippine flying lemur)
Lineage: Eukaryota; Metazoa; Chordata; Mammalia; Dermoptera; Cynocephalidae
Exons: 8
Source: RefSeq, a predicted model, not a curated record